This 250-nucleotide ribosomal RNA is filed under the name uncultured prokaryote. RNAcentral's name for it is "partial 16S ribosomal RNA". It matches the Rfam family "Bacterial small subunit ribosomal RNA", at positions 524 to 773 of the family's 1533-position model. The record is from RNAcentral.
UACGUAGGGGGCAAGCGUUAUCCGGAUUUACUGGGUGUAAAGGGAGCGUAGACGGAUUUGCAAGUCUGAAGUGAAAGCCCGCAGCUCAACUGCGGAACUGCUUUGGAAACUGUUGGUCUGGAGUGCAGGAGAGGUAAGCGGAAUUCCUGGUGUAGCGGUGAAAUGCGUAGAUAUCAGGAGGAACACCGGCGGCGAAGGCGGCUUACUGGACUGUAACUGACGUUGAGGCUCGAAGGCGUGGGGAGCAAAC